This 125-nucleotide non-coding RNA is filed under the name unclassified sequences. RNAcentral describes it as "DUF3800-I RNA". It matches the Rfam family "DUF3800-I RNA". From Rfam's summary of the family: Actinobacteria, Firmicutes, Fusobacteria, Proteobacteria (1 example), Tenericutes (2 examples). Terminator (Clostridia) The record is from Rfam by way of RNAcentral.
UCUAACUGCGGGUAGCCAAGGCUACGCCGUAUACUCUGCGUGCUCGAAUUAACGUUUAAGCGAUCUUUCAAGAUAGCCGACCGCAGGGGGAAAAGCCGCUGAAUGCGGCUUUUCUUUUAGGCCGC